GUGCUUCAUUCAGCAGCUCAUAUACUAAUAUUGAAAUAAUUCAGUGAAAGAUAGCAUGGUCCAUAGGUAAGGAUAACAAAAAAUUUUGUGAAAUAUUCCAUAUAUUU
Molecule: small nuclear RNA, 107 nt
Organism: Fukomys damarensis (Damara mole-rat)
Lineage: Eukaryota; Metazoa; Chordata; Mammalia; Rodentia; Bathyergidae
Source: Ensembl